Molecule: long non-coding RNA, 638 nt
Organism: Oncorhynchus kisutch (coho salmon)
Lineage: Eukaryota; Metazoa; Chordata; Actinopteri; Salmoniformes; Salmonidae
Exons: 6
Source: RefSeq, a predicted model, not a curated record
CACGCAUCGGUCACACACUCAAAAAUGAAGUGAGACCGACGCUCUCAUGGGAAGUGUUGACAUACCUUAUUGAUCAUCACCAUAUAAGUCUAGUAAGGAGCACUGUCGGUUGUAUCUGUCGUUUCUUCUGAGAACUGACCAAAUUAAUUUCAACAAAAAAGAUGCAAAGACGUAAUACCGUUCUGUGUGCAUUUCUUGUCCUCUUUGGACAACUGUCUGAAUCCAGUGGAAUUUCAUUAAUGGGUUUAGAAAAGAGAGGUUGGACACUGAAUAGUGCAGGAUACCUCCUUGGGCCAUAUGCACAACGAACGCUGACUGUGAGACAUAGACCCCUACUGGGCAAAAGGAGUGUUUGGGAAGAUGAUGUGAAACCGUUCCAAAACAGUGAAUACAAGUCUGUCAUCGAUGACGCCUACGUUCAAGCUUUUCUGGACUUCAUUACUUACUUACGUCUGAAAGAGAUUGGAGAGAUGGAGGAUUUGAGCACCCAUUAUCUUGCAGAAACGAAGUCAUAAUAUGAAAUCAGUACUCCUCUCCUAUUGUCAAAACAUAAUUUUACACCUCCACCUGUUCCUAUGGUACUCAACUGCUUUUUCAAUGGUAUGACAAAACAAUGUAAAUAAACUUACUUUCUAUUA